Molecule: long non-coding RNA, 1252 nt
Filed under: Marmota monax (woodchuck)
Lineage: Eukaryota; Metazoa; Chordata; Mammalia; Rodentia; Sciuridae
Source: RNAcentral
CGGUCCUCAGCUCCUGCUCAGGAUUCACAUCGGGCUCCGUGGGAGACUCCGCGCGGUGACCUCAUAUCCGCUUGCCCACCUCUCAUCCGGGGUCAGGGAGCAGCCAAACGUAAACACACCAGGAGUUUCCCGGACCCAGGUUCUGGCUCCUGCGUGGAUCGCCAAGCCUUGGCGAAUCCUUGCAGCCAACCGAAGUCAGAGGAGGCGUCAAGCUAGCCCGACAGACAGCGGGUAAUCGGAAGUCCGCACGAGAGUGGUUAUUUCCGGGAUCGGUGUUAGACGGCCGCACUGCUGUUGCCCGCCACGCGCGCCGAGUGCGCAUGUGCAAAGCGAGAGCGACCUGGCGGGUGGUCCGGAGAGCCCGAGGUACAGGUCCGCGGGGGCAGAAAUGCCCGGUCGCCCUCUGUACGACGUGGCGUGCGGUCACUACCGCACAGGGUGACCUCGAGCAGUGAGUGGCACUGUGCAGGGCGCGCUGCCUGUGCCACGCGCAGAGGAGGGCCCUGAAUCAAUAGUGGUUGUUAGUUGGAAACAAUCUAAGUGCUCAGCAGUAUUGAGGAUUUACAGCAUUCCCCGAGUUAUCCUUGGAACGUCUGCACGGUGCAACGCACUGCUUUAGGUCUUUGGAAAACAGCAGCAAACAAGACAGACCCCAGACUCGUGGAGUGGACCUACUAGGGGAGUAAAGAUAAAGAAUAAGUGAAUUAUACAAUUAUGUUAGAAGGUGGCAAAUGCCUUGAGACAAAAGAACAGGGUCGGGGCAAAGAGGGGGCGAUGCAGUAUUAGGAUGGGCACUAGGCUACAGAGACAGAUUGAGCAGAAAACCAGAAAGAAGGCAAAAGAGUGAACCAUGUGGCUCCUUGAAGAAAGCUGAAGCUGAGGCCCAGAGGCGGGAGAGACAGGUGGAGGAGAAGGAACUGGGAUGUGGGUCCAGUGGACAGGGGGUCAGGAACAGCACAGAUCAGCUAGGAUUUUGCAGGCUACUCAAGGACUUUGGUCUUGCUCUUGAUAAAAUAGGAAGCAUUGCAGGGUUUGAACAGGGGAGGGAUGUGCUUGAAUAGAUUUAAAUAGGUUCACCGGGAGUGGGGAGGGGAGUAGGCAUGGAACCUACUGCUGAGAGAUGUUUACCUGCAUCCCUGUAAUUAUUUUUAAAAGCCUAGGUAAAGGCCAUUGAUGGCAAUGACUACAGGAGCGCUUAAACUCAGAACAGCCUGCAGAGGGCAAUGCUGUCCCCUUCUCUGAGGACUCUGGC